Molecule: non-coding RNA, 2804 nt
Organism: Triticum urartu
Lineage: Eukaryota; Viridiplantae; Streptophyta; Magnoliopsida; Poales; Poaceae
Source: RefSeq, a predicted model, not a curated record
AAAAAAUCCCCUCGUCCGAUCCCCAACCUCCCCCCGAUCCUGUCGCCGCUGCUGCCUACCCCGCCUCCUACCGGUGCGCUACCACUCCCGCCUCCUUCCGGCGCGCCGUCAUCCCCGCCUCCUACCGGCGCGCCGCCGGACCCUCCUUCUUCCCUGGAGCGCCGCCACCCCGCUGCCCUCGCCAUCUUCCCGAGCGCGCCGCUGCCGCCGUCUUCCCCAGAGCGCCACCGCCCCGCCACCCCCGCCCACGGGACCAGUGGUCCCAUCGCCGGUCUCCCCCCACCCAGAUUUGCUGGAGGCGCACCGGAUCCUGCCUCACGGCCGGUUCCCGCGACUCGGCCGCCGCCCCAACCGCUGCAGCAGCCGAACACCUCCACUAGGUGCCCCGGCGGUUCGGACACCCACCUGGCCCCUCCCUCGAACCCAGCGAGCCUCCGCCCCGACCUACUUCCCGCGCGAGGUCGCCUCCGCCUCCUCCUGGCGCACCGCCGCCCCCACCAUCUCCACCUCCGCCUCCGCCGAUGCCUCCUUCUCCACCUCCGUUCGCAAGCGAUGGCGGCCGCGGUCUUCACCCCCAUCCACCAUGGCUGCAGAUCCACCCACGGCCGGUCGUCUAAGCUUCAAGCAUGGAUGGAUGGAUUCAGGAAGGUAUCCUUCCUCCCUGGGUGGAGCGAGCUGCAGAUCCCGUCCGGCCCUCCGGAACCGGCCAUCUCCGCCUCCUCCUCGCCGCCGCCGCUGGGGAUCAUGUCUUCACCAAACGCGAGCUCUGCCCCAUCCGACCGACCGCAAAGGGAGAUAGGACAUGGCGGAAACAAAACUGCACGGCGAUGUGCAUUUCUGCAACACAUCAGGUCUACAUUUUCCAUUGCCCUGGACUUAUGAACGGAAGAAAAAGCAAUAUGAAGUUCUUGUCUGCAUCAAACUGCUUUCACUUAUAUUCUGCCGAAUUUCCUCCUUCUAUGGGACUGUACAUGGGAAUUAUCUACAAGGGUUAUGUCCUUUGCAGGUAGAUUAUCUUAUAGGACGGGCGAAAUGCAACAGAAGAAGCUCCUCCGCUGCUACUCGCCAAACUCCAAGCAAAAAGGACCUUCCACUUUCCUUGCUAAUGGGGCCUCAGUUUGUUCGGAAUCAGAUACAACCAUUUGAUCCAUUAUUGUUCGUGGGCAUCAUAUUUAAAAAAAAUAUUUUUUGGAUUUUGUAAAGUUUGCGGUUAAUAAGCCGGUGAGAGCUGAUGGUUCAGUUAGAUCCUGCAUUUACUUGACCUCUUUCUCUGUCAGGUAAAUUACCAUGGUACUUAUCUAAUGCGAUUUGUAAAGUUUUACCAAUCUGGAGAAUAUUCAAUACCAAGAUUUAUGAUUUGGCAUAAGUGAGAUGACAUACAAGUGAGUUUAAUUCGUGAGAGUGAAAUAGCAACAGUUUAAUUAUCAUACCGCCGGCAGCUGCACCUCAACUGCGGAAAAAGAAAUCUUGAAGAACCAAGACCACCACCAGCUGGAAGAAGAUUUCAUCUAGGAAAUUUAGUCCUAGGGACUUUGAUAUACAAUGAUACACCAAAGCAAGCAAAGAAGCCAAAAGAAGUUAAAUGUUUUUACCUGCUGCUGGCAUCCGAUGAGCAGUUGCAGGUGUCAACCAUAGUAUUGUUAUAUGAAGUGAGAGUUGCAUGUGCUUAUCUGAAGCUUAUACUAAUAAUUUGCCUCCCUAAUUGUGGCUGAUCUGGAGCUCAUACCCAUGUUGGGUGAGUAUCUCCCUCUCUGUUUGUUGGGCUGUCGGCAGCUCCUUUUUGCUGCGUCUCUGUAUACUAUAACCACUAUCCCUAAAAUAAGUAAACUAUAACCACACUCUUUGAUCAUAUUAUUUAGAAGAAAAAAGAUUAGAGCUGCAUUUAUUCAUAUUAAUGUAGACUGGGCCUGAUCCAAGAAAUAGAAGACUUAUACAUUGAUUGCAUCCACCGAUAAAAUCCCAAAUGUGUGUGGGCAAGACUAUCUUCGUGUUUUCAUAAUAUAAAAAAUAGUAGGUAAGUGUCAAUCUGUUGCUGGUUCAGAAUUUGAUAAGGUUGAAAACUUUGUAUGAAAAUCUUUGUAAUUCUUUUGAGUUGUGGAAGAGACAGCUGGGAUGACUUUGAUAAUAUGCAUUGGAUGGCGGAGGACGAAAAAUAAAUAAGGUGGGGCGGCUCUGAAGCAUAAAAAAAUUCCAAUGAAAAACGAAAGUAGUUCAUGCACACUAAAAUGCACACAAAUACUUUUUAAAAUCAUGCUAUUGUCCGGUCAUUUUCUCAAAAUGACACUAAAAUUUGAAUAAUAAUUACUUCUCUCCUUUUGUCUUCCAUUUUCCCGUCCAGUACAUUUUCCUCUUUUUAGUUCAUCGGAAAAAUUGACACACAGCGGCCGCUAAAUUUUUUGAGAAGACGAACCAUGGAGAUUGGAGAUGAAGAGCUGGUCGCCGCCCCUGUGUACCUAUUCUGAUUGGAGUUCUUAUUACAGUUACAUGAUCAUGUGACAGCAUGGCAUCGGACAACACGGCCUUCACCUUAAUGCACCCCAAAGGUGGUCAUCGCCGAAGCACGCCAAGGGUGAGCCACAACCAUACCGUUGACCCACCGGCGUGGUGAGGACAAAUUGCAUAGUAUCAUGUUUUUUCAGUUAAAACCUGAGAACAGAAAGACGUAUCUAACACAGUAUGUAAAAUUUGUAAGCUCAUAUGAAAAUAGCUGAGAUCAAAUUAGGUAAGCACGUUCUUGCAAGCGAUGUAUUUUCUCACUUACGAGAAUUACCAGUUGCAUAUAUAAUAUACUGUAGUAGCCUAUA